Molecule: ribosomal RNA, 4182 nt
Filed under: Triticum aestivum (bread wheat)
Lineage: Eukaryota; Viridiplantae; Streptophyta; Magnoliopsida; Poales; Poaceae
Description: partial small subunit ribosomal RNA
Source: RNAcentral
AUGGCGGAAUUCGCGCUUGGUCUGACCAAGACGGCGGUGGAGGGGACGCUGAGCCGGGUGAAGUCGGCUAUCGAGGAGGAGGGGAAGCAGAGGGAGCGUGUGCAGGAAGACCUGGUCUUCAUCACUGGAGAGUUCCAGAUGAUGCAGGCCUUCCUGAACGCCUCCAGCGCCGGGGAGCGUGCAUCCAAUAACCUGGUGGCCGGGGCGUGGGUGAGGCAGCUCCGCGACCUCGCCUUCGACGUGGAGGACUGCGUCGAGUUCGUGGUCAGCCUCGACAAGCCGUCGCCCUGGGACUGGGUCCAGCGCCUUGCCUCGUCCCUCCCCUGCCUUGCCAGGCCGCCGCUGCCCCUGGACGAGGCGGUGGCGGAGAUAAAGCGGCUCAAGGCGAGGGUUGAGGAUGUAAGCCAGAGGAACACACGCUACAACCUCAUGGCUGGCGGUGACGACCACGACGACGAUGAAAAUCAACAUCGGCAGAUGCUAAUGUACCCUGCAAAGGUUCAAACAGCAGCAGAAGCCGAAACCUUCCUCGCUCUAAGGCAGGUUUGGAAGGCCAUGGGAAAGCUUCAUGAGGCCACCGGCGAUCUGAAAAGGUUGAUCGAUUGCCAAGGAAGUGAGCUCAAAGUGAUCACCCUGUGGGGAAGUCAUCAAGCUGAUAAUACUGGGGAACUUGGGUGGGCGAGUAUUGUGAAGAAGGCCUACAUUGACCCAGAAAUCUGCCAGCAAUUCAAGAAUCGCGCAUGUGUAAAGCUGGCCUAUCCUUUUAACCCAGUAGAGUUCCUCAACAACUUACUCACUCACUUCACAUCCCACCGCCAUGACCGACAUGAUGAUAUGUCCAAGCUCAUUCUGCAACUCAGCCAACACAAGUACCUCAUCAUCCUAGAGCAAGAGCUAUCCAGUGUCGCGGACUGGGAGGCCAUCAAAAUGUACCUUCCCGACGGCAACAACGGCAGCCGGAUCAUCGUCUCAACCAAGCACUUGGGAGUUGCCCGUGUCUGCACUGGGGAACCCUUCCAAGUAUGGGAGCUGCAACGCUUCUCUGGUGAUCGGUAUCUUUGUGCCAUUUUCCCCAAGGGUUGUGGGCAUCGGAUCGGCUUGGCUGAACUCGUUUGGCAACUAAGACGACACCCUGCUGUUAUCUCCCUCUACUUUCAGAACAAUGACGACAAAGACCAACUACUGUACCCAUCCAAGGAGUUGAGGAUAUUCGACGGAGUGAAGUUUGAAUACCAGUGCCACCCCUUUCUAGGUCAUGGGCUCAAGCUGGUUGACUUGGCUGAGGAAAUACUUUUGGAACCUUACCCAGAAGAUAAAUUUGAAGAGAUGUUCAGUGGGAUGGAUGACCAACAUAAAAUUGAAAGCUGUCAUGAGUUUCUGACUCAACAUGAUUACCUCAUCUAUGUGGAACUGGAGUCCACUGCAGACUGGGACUUGAUCAGACAGCACAUCUUGCGUGACUCUACGAGAGCUUGCAUCGUUGUUAUUACUACUGAUCCAAGUGUGGCCAAACAUUGUGUAGGCCACCAGCACCACCUGGCGUUCAACGUUGAAGAUCUGUUGAACAAGGGUUCUUCUGAUCAACAACACCAGAGUGGACAUGCGGAUGGAGGCCGAGAGAGCAUAGUAAUAAAGGAAGAGGGCGAGCAUGAACCUGAUGAGCUUGUUGGGCGUGAAGAUGAAAGUGACUUCUUCCAUGGCUUAUCUCAACUCAUGACUGUGUCGUCCGUGUGGGGGAUCGCAGGUGUUGGGAAAUCAGCUAUCGUCAAGAAAUAUUACAAAUACAUCAAACUCAACACACAAGAUUACAGAAUGUACGGGUGGGUGAAUGUGGCCCAUCCGUUAAGUUUGAUGGACAUGUGUCGGAGAUUGCUACUGGACUUUUAUUCGGAUGAUCUUGAUGCCAAGGAAACAGCAGCAGUUGGUUUGGUCGAAGGCCAAGACCCUAUUCAAAUGUGUUGCAAAAUCCUGCAUGAAAAGAAAUGCCUCCUUGUUAUUGAUGAUCUGCGGUCCACUCAUGAAUGGGACUUGAUAAAGGCAUCAUUGCUAUCCCAGGCUAACAUUGGUGGUAGAACUAUUGUCAUUACACGCGAAGAGAGCAUCGCCAAACAUUGUACAAAUGCAAUUCAUACAGAACCCGGUAUUCUCAAUCUCAAGGGUCUUGAACCUGACGUGGCCCUUCAUCUCUUCAAAAAGAUAACUUUGGACGGCAAGCCAGAGUCUAAAUUCCCUCCCAAUGCAGAGAAGAUUUCAAAGCUUAUCACAUCCAAGUGUGGCAGCAUUCCGGAAGUAAUAGUUGCCAUAGGAAAAAUUGCCAGCCCAGGCCUAGGGAAUAUUGAGUGGUUGGAGCAUAUAAAUGUUGAAUUCAUGAGGGUACUAGACACCCCUUCAAGUUCUAGUAGUUUAAGGGGCCUAUUUUGUUGGAUGCAAUCCUAUUUUGAUGCUUGCUCAGAUGAACUCAAGCCAUGCAUUUUCUAUAUGUCCAUCUUCCCAGCCGAGCAAAGCAUUAGGCGAAGGCGUUUGCUUAGGCGGUGGAUCGCAGAGGGUUACUCCUCUUGUGGUGGUGGUGGUGGUAUUGCGGAAGAGAAGGCAGAAAAGCUCUUGGCCGACUUCAUGAAGUUGGGCAUAUUUUACAAGGGGCAGAUAUCAUCAACAACAAGAAGCUGCAAGCUCAAUGGUUUCUUUUAUGAGUACAUCAAGUCAAGGCCAAUGGAAGAUAACCUUGUGUUUGAACUAGAGGGGAGUUGUGGCCCUGGCUCACGGCUCACUGGACAACACCUCACCAUAACCAGUAGCUGGGACAGGGAUAAGAUUGUAUUCAAUAGCAUGGACGUGUCAAGGCUAAGGUCUUUGACGGUGUAUGGGAAGUGGGUGCCAUUCCUCAUCAGUUGUGACAAGAUGAAGAUGCUUCGAGUGCUUGAUCUGGAGGACACUAGUAGUGCACUGGAAUCAGAUGGUACUGGUGUAGUAACAGAUGCUGAUCUGGAGAUGAUCGGGAAGUUGUUGACCCGCCUCAAGUUCUUGUCCCUUCGGGGAUGCAUGCAAGUCACUCAUCUCCCUGAUUCGAUGGGUGCCAUGAGGCAGCUGGAGACCCUGGAUGUCCGACACACCAGUAUAUUUGAGCUGCCACCUGCUAUCAUCACCAAGCUACACAAGUUGCAGUACAUCCGUGCUGGCAACACUGACACCACAAGACUAACACCACCACCACCACCAACACCUUCACCGACACCACCACCACCUUCAUCACCACAACCACAACCACAACCACUAGAGGAAGUUCAUGGUGGCACCAGCCCCUUCCUAGGGGCCAAAGCAGCAGCAUUAUGUGUGGCCCCACAGGCAUCCACUAGACUUAAGGGAGCAUGUAAGAGGUGGGCACAUGCUUUGGUGGAAUCCAGAAGCAGCAGCAGCUGUUGGUGGGAGUCCAGGAAGCAGCGGAGUUGCCGUGUUGCUGCAAAUGGCGGCGGUGUUGAGGUUGUUUGUGCUGCCGCAAAGGGGAUUGGGAUGCUGACGGAGUUGCAUACACUCGGUGUUGUGAAUAUUGCAGGUGGGAGAGGCGCCCUCCUCCUCUUCCUCGAGGCGCUCAAGAAUCUUACCCAGCUGCGCAAGCUCGGGUUGUCCGGCAUCAACCCUAAAAACUGGAAGGACUUGUGUUCGGCCAUCUCGGGUCACCUUCCUCAUCUUGAGUCCUUGUCGCUGCAACUGCUGGUGCUGGAGAAGCAAGGCGGCAGCUAUGACUUUGCUUGUUUCGACAACAGCUUCAGGCCGCCAAAGACCCUAAAGAGCCUUAAGGUAUUUUACAGUAGUACUAGAGGUGGUGCAGGCGCAAGUCCUGCAUCCAUAAGGCCAGCCUGGAUCAAUCAGUUUCCCAAUCUCAAGAGGUUUAAUCAUGAGGUGAGGGUUUCAAGUCAAGAUGACAUGGAUAGCAUUGACCAUCGUUGCUUAAGCAGCAGCAGCUCAAGGGUAACUUGUGGACCGCGUGAGAUAUUUGCUAAAGCGGUCAGCAUUCACUGCUGCAGCUCUUGUGGUGGAUCGUCGUGCUUGCAGAUUGAUGGGCUAGAGAGUAUACUUUACCUAAAGGAAGUCUUUGUAACGGGUCCGUGCAGCGACGGCUUCAAGGAAGAGCUACAAAGGCAACUCGGCAAGCAUCAAGGCAAACCUACCCUGAGACUGCUGUAA